Oncorhynchus gorbuscha (pink salmon) is the source of this 1629-nucleotide long non-coding RNA. RefSeq lists it as uncharacterized. The transcript has 2 exons. NCBI's taxonomy places the organism in Eukaryota, Metazoa, Chordata, Actinopteri, Salmoniformes, Salmonidae. The record is from RefSeq and is a predicted model, not a curated record.
CAAUGGAUGAGGGGUUAGACUUGUGGGUGUGUCCGGAUGGAGCUGAGAGUGGAGAACUUUCUGGUCACCCUGCUUGACAUCGGUGGGGCCCUGGAGGUGCGGGGGUCCUGGGGGGAUCUCUAUGGGGAGCUCCAUGGGUUCAUCUUUGUGGUGGACUCCAGUGACCAGCAGAGUAUUAAAGAGGUCCAGGAGUAUCUGACAGACCUGCUGAAGCAGCAUAAAGUGGUGGGAAAACCACAACUGUUGGAAGGACUACUUCUUAUAUCAAGUUUGAAUUCAUGGAAGUAGAAUAUUUGAUCAAUGCCAAAAUAAAAGUUACAGCUGAUUUUAUAACUUUGUUAUUCAAGGUUCUAUGAGGUGUAUAGAACCCAUGAGGUGACAGACGAUCUAUAUUACCUAAACCCAUUAAAACCUCAGUGUGACCAUUUACAGUGGGCAAGGAUGGACAGCAGCGAAGCUGAUUAGUGCUUUCAAUGUCGUUUUUCCUUUUUUGAACCAACUGAUGAAAUGUUUUGCUCUGUUGUGUUGUAGGCUGGCCAGCAAGCAGGACAAGAUGAACGCCCUGCUGGGGAUUGAGAUAAUUGAGAUCCUUUCUCUGGAGAGACUGGUGAACCAGAGCCGCUGUCUGUGCCACAUUGUCUAGUCUAGUCCUUGUACACACAACUAGACAGAGAGACAGACUGCCAAUCAGCUAGCCAGCCAUCCAGCUAGCCAAUCAGAGAUACAGAUUAUGUUAAUUAUGUACAAGAGACCGAUAGAUACAUAGACAGACACAAAUCCAUAGAUUUGAUUGUGUUGUGCUUUUCUGCUCAAGAAGCCCUGUUCAGUCUUCAUGGACCAGCUGAGGUGGACAGACAGAAGACGCUGUGGGGUCUUUGCUGGCUGCUGCAUGCCGUCAAUCUGGAUUACCCAGAACUCUGUUCUUUCAUAAUCAGGAACAUCAGGGACAGGAGACCUCUGGCACCAGAUGAGGGACAACCGUGGGAAGACGGAGAGGCUGCAGCAAGCCCAAAGAUGAAAGGAUACGUGGCAGCAAAAAAUAAACUUGAUAAAGUACAACGCCUUCAAGAAAAGGACCAAAGGCCCAGACCCCCUUCCUACAACCCAUUUGAGACAUUGACAGUUUUAGUUGCAGAUCCAUUUGAUCUUGAUAAGAUUCCUAUAGUUUCAGUACAGUAAAGGUGUUAUGUGUGAACUGAUACACAUUUUGUAUUUUAGGAUAAUAUGAAGAAAAAGAAGGGAGGCCUGCCCUGCCUGCAAACCCUCCACAACCUCAUUCUAUUACCUCAUAUCUUACAUUUAUGGAUUACAACUGGAGUUUCCAUCAGCUUUUGAAGGACAAUUAAAAAAGACCUGACAGCACAUUUUUCUUAGUAGCAACUGUGUAGGAAUUACAAAGCCAAUACACCUCUGAGAAAUGUGUGUUUAUUUUAUGUUACCAAAAUAUGUUAUAUAUGAGUGUCAAUAUUUAUUUAUUAGUGGUUAUUUAAUUAUCUGUAGUAAAAGUAAACAAUUGUUUACAAACAUGAUCAAUGUACGGUCAAACUAUUUCAAUUCCUCGUAAAUAUAAAGAGUUGACCUGUUUAUAUUGCAAUUUUGAUGGAAAGUAAAACUUGAUUUUAUAAAGUU